RNAcentral lists this transfer RNA (61 nucleotides) under Agrilinae sp. 5 ACP-2013. RNAcentral's name for it is "tRNA-Asp". Lineage: Eukaryota; Metazoa; Arthropoda; Insecta; Coleoptera; Buprestidae. The record is from RNAcentral.
GAAAAAUUUAGUUAAAAUAUAACAUUAGCUUGUCAAGCUAAAAUUACUUAGAGUAAUUUUU